RNAcentral lists this ribosomal RNA (253 nucleotides) under uncultured bacterium. RNAcentral describes it as "partial 16S ribosomal RNA". It matches the Rfam family "Bacterial small subunit ribosomal RNA", at positions 524 to 776 of the family's 1533-position model. The record is from RNAcentral.
UACGUAGGGCGCGAGCGUUGUCCGGAUUUAUUGGGCGUAAAGAGCUCGUAGGCGGCUUGUCGCGUCGUUCGUGAAAACUCACAGCUCAACUGUGAGCUUGCGGUCGAUACGGGCAGGCUGGAGUUCGGUAGGGGAGACUGGAAUUCCUGGUGUAGCGGUGAAAUGCGCAGAUAUCAGGAGGAACACCGGUGGCGAAGGCGGGUCUCUGGGCCGAUACUGACGCUGAGGAGCGAAAGCGUGGGGAGCGAACAGG